This 207-nucleotide ribosomal RNA is filed under the name uncultured bacterium. RNAcentral describes it as "partial 16S ribosomal RNA". It matches the Rfam family "Bacterial small subunit ribosomal RNA", at positions 568 to 774 of the family's 1533-position model. The record is from RNAcentral.
CGUGUAGGCGGCCAGGUAGGUCGGUUGUGAAAACUGGAGGCUCAACCUUCAGACGUCGACCGAAACCCCCUGGCUAGAGUCCGUAAGAGGAGAAUGGAAUUCCUGGUGUAGCGGUGAAAUGCGCAGAUAUCAGGAAGAACACCCGUGGCGAAAGCGGUUCUCUGGGACGGUACUGACGCUGAGACGCGAAAGCGUGGGGAGCGAACA